GACGAACGCUGGCGGCGUGCUUAACACAUGCAAGUCGAACGAAGAGCGAUGGAAGCUUGCUUCUAUCAAUCUUAGUGGCGAACGGGUGAGUAACGCGUAAUCAACCUGCCCUUCAGAGGGGGACAACAGUUGAAAACGACUGCUAAUACCGCAUACGAUCUAACCUCGGCAUCGAGGAUGGAUGAAAGGUGGCCUCUAUUUAUAAGCUAUCACUGAAGGAGGGGAUUGCGUCUGAUUAGCUAGUUGGAGGGGUAACGGCCCACCAAGGCGAUGAUCAGUAGCCGGUCUGAGAGGAUGAACGGCCACAUUGGGACUGAGACACGGCCCAGACUCCUACGGGAGGCAGCAGUGGGGAAUCUUCCGCAAUGGACGAAAGUCUGACGGAGCAACGCCGCGUGAGUGAUGACGGCCUUCGGGUUGUAAAGCUCUGUUAAUCGGGACGAAAGGCCUUCUUGCGAAUAGUUAGAAGGAUUGACGGUACCGGAAUAGAAAGCCACGGCUAACUACGUG
RNAcentral lists this ribosomal RNA (510 nucleotides) under uncultured bacterium. RNAcentral describes it as "partial 16S ribosomal RNA". It matches the Rfam family "Bacterial small subunit ribosomal RNA", at positions 28 to 507 of the family's 1533-position model. The record is from RNAcentral.